AGUGAACGCUGGCGGUAGGCCUAACACAUGCAAGUCGAACGGCAGCACAGUAAGAGCUUGCUCUUACGGGUGGCGAGUGGCGGACGGGUGAGGAAUACAUCGGAAUCUACUUUUUCGUGGGGGAUAACGUAGGGAAACUUACGCUAAUACCGCAUACGACCUACGGGUGAAAGCAGGGGAUCUUCGGACCUUGCGCGAUUGAAUGAGCCGAUGUCGGAUUAGCUAGUUGGCGGGGUAAAGGCCCACCAAGGCGACGAUCCGUAGCUGGUCUGAGAGGAUGAUCAGCCACACUGGAACUGAGACACGGUCCAGACGCCUACGGGAGGCAGCAGUGGGGAAUAUUGGACAAUGGGCGCAAGCCUGAUCCAGCCAUACCGCGUGGGUGAAGAAGGCCUUCGGGUUGUAAAGCCCUUUUGUUGGGAAAGAAAGGCAGCAGGUUAAUACCCCGCUGUUCUGACGGUACCCAAAGAAUAAGCACCGGCUAACUUCGUG
RNAcentral lists this ribosomal RNA (492 nucleotides) under uncultured bacterium. RNAcentral's name for it is "partial 16S ribosomal RNA". It matches the Rfam family "Bacterial small subunit ribosomal RNA", at positions 29 to 507 of the family's 1533-position model. The record is from RNAcentral.